AUCUUCCGAUGGUCUGUAAUAUUUGCAUCCAUUGGUACUUUUCCGUAGGUGAAAAACUGUUUUUUAGUAGUGUAUCUUCCGAUGGUCUGUAAUAUUCAAUUUUAUGGUUUGUAAUAUUCAACAUAAGAUUCAAUUUGGAAUUUCUCCUGAGAACAGAUUUUGGUUGAUGCUUUUGGCUUUGACCACGAGACCCCAACGAAACAGCACAAUUCCCUCAACAAAGAUUUGCCUUGGUGAUGACCUGUGACCAAACCUAUUUCAUUUCAUACAAAAUAGACUAAUCAAGGCAGGUGAUAUAGUCCAGCUCAUCCAACUCGCACCUUGUGGAGAGGUUAUAAAAUAAAUAAUGUAAUCGAUGAUAGAGCACCAGUAUAAGUGAUCACACUUGAUAUUUUCAAUUAAAUGAACAAUGUGACAUUGUGUUUUUGAGUAAACCUAUUAUUUAAGGUCAUAUAGUCGCCGCUAAACUGGUGCUUGACACCAAUUAUUACUUUUAUAAAAAAUAUCCUUGACACAAGUCCAGUUAGAAUAUGUUUUAAUUGAGUUCACGGUCCUAAUGCCUCCUAGAUCAUUUUCAACUGAUUACACACAAAUAGAGCAUGCACCAUGUACUCCAACCUGCAACACCACACGCAAAGCCCGUCACUGUGAUCUUCCACCUUAUCAGGUUGGGAUGACCUCAUUAAGAAAAUUACAGCCCACUUUUAUAGAAUGAAAAUAUUCUCCCAGCAAAUUUAGAAAAGCAGAAACAUAGAAGGAUA
Molecule: long non-coding RNA, 761 nt
Filed under: Olea europaea (common olive)
Lineage: Eukaryota; Viridiplantae; Streptophyta; Magnoliopsida; Lamiales; Oleaceae
Description: long non-coding RNA (OEUR_LNC009329)
Source: RNAcentral